This 191-nucleotide ribosomal RNA is filed under the name Vibrio cholerae. RNAcentral describes it as "partial 16S ribosomal RNA". It matches the Rfam family "Bacterial small subunit ribosomal RNA", at positions 1 to 184 of the family's 1533-position model. Lineage: Bacteria; Pseudomonadati; Pseudomonadota; Gammaproteobacteria; Vibrionales; Vibrionaceae. The record is from RNAcentral.
UAAUUGAAGAGUUUGAUCAUGGCUCAGAUUGAACGCUGGCGGCAGGCCUAACACAUGCAAGUCGAGCGGCAGCACAGAGGAACUUGUUCCUUGGGUGGCGAGCGGCGGACGGGUGAGUAAUGCCUGGGAAAUUGCCCGGUAGAGGGGGGAUAACCAUUGGAAACGAUGGCUAAUACCGCAUAACCUCGCAA